AUACGGAGGGUCCAAGCGUUAUCCGGAUUCAUUGGGGUUAAAGGGUCCGCAGGCGGGAAAAUAAGUCAGUGGUGAAAGCCUACAGCUCAACUGUAGAACUGCCAUUGAUACUGUUUUUCUUGAGUAUAGAUGAAGUGGGCGGAAUAUAUCAUGUAGCGGUGAAAUGCAUAGAUAUGAUAUAGAACACCGAUUGCGAAGGCAGCUCACUAAACUAUUACUGACGCUCAGGGACGAAAGCGUGGGGAGCAAACAGGAUUAGAUACCCGAGUAGUCC
Molecule: ribosomal RNA, 274 nt
Filed under: uncultured bacterium
Lineage: Bacteria
Description: partial 16S ribosomal RNA
Rfam family: Bacterial small subunit ribosomal RNA
Source: RNAcentral